AGGCUGCCAGUGUUAGUGGGUGAGGAAAUCGGGCAUUCAGCUACUCUGGAUGUGAAGGGCUUGCCAUUCUGCCAAGGUCUGAGUGCAUUGAUUAUGUUAAUGCUGUUGGGAAAAAAGAUGCAGACAUGACGCUGCAGAAAGGAUGCAUAAGGGAAUAAUCAAAUUCAAGGAGUGUGCAUAAAGUUGGAGAAGAAAGUGAUUGGCCACGGAAUGAUAAGAUGCAAUAAAUGUUCAUGGAAUUAUAAAAGUACAGACAUAUUUUUAGGAUGAUCUUCAACCAUCUUGCAGUGAUGUCCUUGAGCCUUAUGGGUUAAAGGACCUGUGAUGCCUUUAGGAACGUCCUAGAUAUUGGUGUAUUUGAAUUGUGAUAGGAGGAUAAAUAAAAAGAAACUGGGGAGUUUAAUAGAAAACACAGAGAACCUUCCAAAGAAAGAACCAAGUCCAAAUGAGGAAAACCAGAAGGAUCAUAAAAUUCUGUGGAAUGCACACGAACAAACAGAGUAGGACCAGAGAUGAACUUCCAAAUGGUAACAAUACUAAUAGUAAAACCUUUUCCAAACAUUUCAGGAGCAGCAAGCCUGCCAGAGCAUCAGUACAACAAAUAGAGGAUCAAGAUACAUCAACAUUUUUGAAAAGAUAACCCACAGAAAAAAACAAAACAAAACAGGUUUCUUACAGCUAUGAUCUCACUGGAGGAGUCUAGAGAGCUCCCCUUGGCAGAUCCUUCCUUGUAAGCACUGCUUCAGUAAAAUCAAGAUUUUGAUAGAAGAUAUGUUAAAAAAAUCACUCCCAGAGGAUUCUAAAGGAAUUCCCAAGUGAAAGAAUCGAGGUGUGCAUUUUCUCACAUAAAAAUUAUUUGGUGGAGAAGACUGGCAGUAAGUUAACACGGCGCAAAUAUUCCAGGAGAGUCUUGUAGGUAGCAUAAAGAUGAAUACUGAACAAUUGCUGGUACUCUGUCUCAAGAAAAAAAACACGGGAACAUGAAAUUACACUAUCAAGCUAGAGACAAGAGAUAGUUAUGCACAACGCAUGGAUGACACAUAGACCUUUCCAAAGGUUGCCAGAAUUGAUAAAAUUUUGUAAUGAUUAAACAUUUUAAAACAUAAUGGGAGAAAAUCCUAUAGUGAAUUAAGUGCAAAUAUGUCAUCACUGGUUUAGAAAACAUAAAUCACAGGAUUAUGAGGAAAUACUUACGAAAGACCAACUAUCUUUAUUCCAUUCUUAUGCUCUUCCAUAUGUAUUUGCUGUUUGCCAUGGUCCAACACAAGAUGUCAGAAUGGCUUGGAAGUACUUGUGGUGUUAGGUUUUAUGUUCCAGCAGUUUCCAUGAGCAAAUGUAUCUUUAUUGCUUCAUCUGCAAGUAUUUAAUACUAAGAAGACAAAGAAGGCAACACUCCUUCUCCAGAAUCCUCCUUGAUAUCCUGCAGCAGUGCAGGAUCUGGGGAGGUGAGAGGCAAAUGUAUGAGGGUUGGUUCUUCUCAGUGAUGCGUAGCAAUAGGACAAGGAGAAAUGGCCUAAAACUUGAACAUAGGAAAUUCCAUACAAACACGUGGAAGAACUUCCUUACGGUAAGGGUGACAUGAGUAAUACCAAAGAACCAAUUGCUUCCAUAUUGGUAUGGGAACUUGGGCUACUUCUUCACAGACCUUAACACUGCGCAGAAGUUUAAGCUGGUAUACCUAAUACAGAAAUGUAGGGUAUGGAGUGUUUUAGAAAACUAGGUGUACACAGGGAAAGGGUUAUUUACUUCUUUGAAUCCUCCUAAGCAAAUAUGAAUAAGGUGCUAUCCCUAUACAAAAACACUGUAUGUCAGGGCCUUCUUAAGGUAUAUAAUAAGAUAUUAUCUAAUGGUUAUUUUUUAAUCUUCAUUGUGACAGUAUGGCUGGCUUUGAUAGAAUUUUUUCUAAAGACUAUCCAGAUCUCUCCCGCAGGUUUGUUUGUUGUUGUCUUUUUUGAAUUAAGAACAACCUAGCAGAGCUUACUUUAAAUAAUACUGAAUGACUAAAAGGAAACUUUUAAUAAGAAAGAGUCCUGUAAGUCCCACCCACAAUUGCUAGUCAACAAAAGAGAAAAUGUACUUCUGAAAUUUCUGGGCUCAGUUCUGGUACUUGCUGGCUGCACCAAUGAGAUGAGUUGGUAUAUUGCCAGCUCCUGUUCAUGUUCUUGGAAAACUGUGAUUUGCAUAAGCUUUUGACUGUGUUUUUCUAGGCUUUGGCCAAGAUUUUAGGAUUCCAUACUAAAAAGGUGCUGCAAGGUGCAUCAGCCUUAACACCACAAAGCUGGAUUGGGUCCUAAUACAAAUGGUCAAAACUUCAAAUAUUUAUACUUCAAAAAUGUAUUUCAGUAAAAAGUGGUGUGUUAUUUAAUAAAGUUUUCUCUGGAAUUGUCCAG
Gallus gallus (chicken) is the source of this 2390-nucleotide long non-coding RNA. The record is from Ensembl. Lineage: Eukaryota; Metazoa; Chordata; Aves; Galliformes; Phasianidae.